UUUAUGCCUAAAGCGCCAGGACUUAAUAUAUAUUAAGUUGACGAGGACAGGGUUUAUCGAAUAUCGGCGGAUACCCUGCGGCAUAUCCACUGUCGUUAGAUGAUUCACAAAACCUAUAAGUGAUUAUAGGGACAAAGGAACAUUAGUGGAUGGA
RNAcentral lists this non-coding RNA (154 nucleotides) under Alkalithermobacter thermoalcaliphilus. RNAcentral describes it as "Clostridium paradoxum GlcN6P sequence". It matches the Rfam family "glmS glucosamine-6-phosphate activated ribozyme aptamer". From Rfam's summary of the family: This entry contains a glucosamine-6-phosphate activated ribozyme that is found in the mRNA for GlmS. GlmS is an enzyme that uses fructose-6-phosphate and glutamine to generate glucosamine-6-phosphate. Lineage: Bacteria; Bacillati; Bacillota; Clostridia; Peptostreptococcales; Tepidibacteraceae. The record is from RNAcentral.